Non-coding RNA from Pelobates cultripes (western spadefoot toad), 214 nucleotides. The record is from the annotation of a GenBank genome assembly. Lineage: Eukaryota; Metazoa; Chordata; Amphibia; Anura; Pelobatidae.
AAGUAAAUUGCUGUUUUAACCUUUACCAAGUGUCAUCUGGUGUUUGGUUCAGGGUGGAAAAGGCCCUCGGUGAUCCCAGUCAAGCCUUGGCAACUGGGUCUAAAGUGCUCCAGGGUCCUUGAUCGCUAUGAGGAAGCAGACAGAAGUAGUCAGUCGGAUUACAGGAGAUCCAUCACCGUUUGUUGUGGAAAUGAGAUAUUGACAUAUUUUCUAG